RNAcentral lists this microRNA precursor (81 nucleotides) under Aedes aegypti (yellow fever mosquito). RNAcentral describes it as "microRNA aae-mir-278 precursor". Its record names the gene aae-mir-278. It matches the Rfam family "mir-278 microRNA precursor family". The record is from miRBase by way of RNAcentral. Lineage: Eukaryota; Metazoa; Arthropoda; Insecta; Diptera; Culicidae.
UGGUGCGAACGGACGAUAGUCUUCAGCGGCCGUGCAUUUGAUAGAAUUGGUCGGUGGGACUUUCGUCCGUUUGUAACCGCC